RNAcentral lists this ribosomal RNA (371 nucleotides) under uncultured organism. Its description in RNAcentral is "bacterial SSU rRNA". It matches the Rfam family "Bacterial small subunit ribosomal RNA", at positions 526 to 896 of the family's 1533-position model. The record is from RNAcentral.
CAGAGGGUGCGAGCGUUAAUCGGAAUUACUGGGCGUAAAGCGCGCGUAGGCGGCUUUGCAAGUCGGGUGUGAAAUCCCCAGGCUUAACCUGGGAACUGCAUUCGAGACUGCAUUGCUAGAGUAUGGGAGAGGGAAGUGGAAUUUCCGGUGUAGCGGUGAAAUGCGUAGAUAUCGGAAGGAUCAUCAGUGGCGAAAGCGACUUCCUGGACCAAUACUGACGCUCAUGUGCGAAAGCGUGGGGAGCAAACAGGAUUAGAUACCCUGGUAGUCCACGCCAUAAACGAUGAGAACUGGAUGUCGGGAGGGUCUGCCUCUCGGUGUCGUAGCUAACGCGUUAAGUUCUCCGCCUGGGGAGUACGGCCGCAAGGUUG